RNA transcript from Triticum aestivum (bread wheat), 856 nucleotides. RefSeq lists it as uncharacterized. NCBI's taxonomy places the organism in Eukaryota, Viridiplantae, Streptophyta, Magnoliopsida, Poales, Poaceae. The record is from RefSeq and is a predicted model, not a curated record. The transcript is spliced from 5 exons.
GCAAGACAUCCGCCCAGUUGCCUCUUGAUCAAGGAACCGGUGGUGGAUGGAUGUGGAGCUGCCCUACGUCAGGUGGCACAGCUGUGCGUGCUUCCCCACUAAUUCUAAUUCUAGGUUGUUGUCUGCUUAGUAUAUUCAGUCGCGUGGCGAGGGGACGAGCAUCAAGUGGCAGAGUUGUGUUGUGCCGGCUGUUAUCCAUCCGAGAGCAAAGCAAAAGCGAAGGUGAAGAUUCCGGCGUCGGCUGCAGGGUGCCCGUGCGUGCUGGUUGGAGAUUGCUCCGGUUCAUCACCGCCAAGGCUAGGUGUUUGUGGAAUUCCCCGCCUCCUUUGCAAGGAAAGGCUGCUAGGAAGAGGGAGAGCGAGGAAAGGAUGGGCAUGCCGCGGGGGCUGUCGGCGUACAUGGUGGACAUGGUGUGGGCGGUGCUCGCCGGGUGGGUGUCGGCGUGCCUGCUGGUCGCCAACGAGAUCGCCCGCGGCAUGCGGGCCGGGGAGAUCGGCCCCUUCGUCGUGGGCUGAAUCUCACUCCUGGGGAAAUCCUCCCUCCCUUCUGACUCCUUCCUUCAGGCUGAUAGUUUUUUGGCGGAUCCAUCCAUGGAUACACAUUGCAUUAUACUGUACAAAGUCCCUAAAUCUCCAUUAGUGUUGAGCUGAAUGGCUUGGCCAUUAAUAGAAGUGACAGAGAUUCUAGAUGAUGCUUUCUUCUCUCCUUCCUUUCCACAAUUCUUCUGUUCUGUAUUAGUAUUGUGAAGAAUUUAUUUUUCCUUUUACAUUAUAGUUCUCUAAAGAUAUGUGCAUCUGCUUAAGAAUGGGUCAUAAACAUAUGUGCAACUUCAUGUUAUGUUCUUUUACAUUAUGAA